This 141-nucleotide small nuclear RNA is filed under the name Zalophus californianus (California sea lion). RNAcentral's name for it is "U2 spliceosomal RNA (ENSZCAG00015010537.1)". It matches the Rfam family "U2 spliceosomal RNA". From Rfam's summary of the family: U2 is a small nuclear RNA (snRNA) component of the spliceosome (involved in pre-mRNA splicing). Complementary binding between U2 snRNA (in an area lying towards the 5' end but 3' to hairpin I) and the branchpoint sequence (BPS) of the intron results the bulging out of an unpaired adenosine, on the BPS, which initiates a nucleophilic attack at the intronic 5' splice site, thus starting the first of two transesterification reactions that mediate splicing. The record is from RNAcentral. Lineage: Eukaryota; Metazoa; Chordata; Mammalia; Carnivora; Otariidae. RNAcentral also lists the same sequence under 1 other name.
AUCGCUUCUUGGCCUUUUGGCUAAGAUCAAGUGUAGAAUUAAAUGACAUAAAAACAUUAUAAAUCAAAAUUUGGGGGCGCCUGGCUGGCUCAGUCAGUAGAGCAUGCAACUCUUGAUCUCAGGGUCGUGAGUUCAAGCCCC